Molecule: unclassified non-coding RNA, 156 nt
Filed under: uncultured Pleosporales
Lineage: Eukaryota; Fungi; Ascomycota; Dothideomycetes; Pleosporales
Description: sequence contains ITS2
Source: RNAcentral
GUACCCUCAAGCUUUGCUUGGUGAUGGGUGUUUGUCCUGUCCUUUUGCGACUGGACUCGCCUUAAAGUUAUUGGCAGCCGGCAUAUAGGCCUUUGGAGCGCAGCACAAUUUGCGAUCUAAGUCUCUAUUCUGGCGUCCAUCAAGCCUUUUUAUCAC